AACUAGUCAGUACUUACAGGAUUUAACCUAACCUAAAAGCUUUAUAUAUACCUUUUGUCUCAGGAUUUAUUAAAAUAAACAUCUAUAAAAAUAUCUCGGGGCUCAUACGAACUAAUUACGCACUAUUUAAUAAGUGUUUAUUAUUUUUAGAAGUGAAACUCUACGAGUUGAACUAACUAGUUAUGGUUUAUUAAGGGAGCAAGUCUCUUUUUAACUAGUAAUUUAUAUAACUUUAUAAUACAUAGCUUUUAUAUUAAGGUCAUUAAUUGUUUGUUACAAAUAAUGUAAGGUUAAAUAUAAAAUAUAGCGAGUAAGCAAUAAAAUCUAUAAUUAAUUAAGGUCUCUUAUAAUGAUAAAAUUACUAUUAAGAAUCUACUUUCUUAAGUAACUAGGACUGCUAUUGAAUGUUUAUCAAAAACUUUUCUUUUUGUUGUUUAGAGGGUAAGGCCUGCCCAGUGAAUUUUAAACGGCUGCGGUAUCCUGACCGUGCUAAGGUAGCAUAAUCAUUUGUUUUUUAAUUGAUAACUGGAAUGAACGGCUUAACAAUUGUCUUUUAUCUAAGUUAGAUUAAAUAAUUUGGGGUUAGAGUAAAAACACUCUAAUACGAGAGGGGGACGAUAAGACCCUAGAAGCUUUAUAAUUAAAUUAAGUACAUUUUUUUUAUAAUAAGUACUUAUAUAAAUUAUUUAACUGGGGCGGUGGUGAUAUACAAACUAUUAUUUUAUAAAACAAUUGGUUUAAAGUUCCUUUAUAUAAGGAAAGAUAGGUUAAGUUACUCUAGGGGUAACAGCGUAAUAUCUAUGGAAAGCCCAUAUUUAUAUAGAUGAUUGCGACCUCGAUGUUGAAUUAAACCAUCAUUAUAGAGCAGAAACUAUCAAUGAGAGUUUGUUCAACUUUUAAAUUUUUACAUGAUUUGAGUUCAAAUCGGUUUAAGCCAGAUUGGUUUCUAUCUUCUCAAACAUAACAGCUCUUUUAGUACGAAAGGACCAAAGGGUGUUUA
Molecule: ribosomal RNA, 1000 nt
Filed under: Hyalella armata
Lineage: Eukaryota; Metazoa; Arthropoda; Malacostraca; Amphipoda; Hyalellidae
Description: 16S ribosomal RNA
Rfam family: Archaeal large subunit ribosomal RNA (bases 608-956)
Source: RNAcentral